AGAUGAUAACAUAACAAAGUCGGAUUCAGCGUUUCAAGAUCUGUUAAUUUGGGCAAUAUUGGCAAACAGACCAAAACUAGCAACUAUUUUUUGGAUGAAAUGCAACAAUCAGCUAUGCAAGUAUUGACUAAGAAUUCUUUGUGUGUGUUGCAUUGUCGUUUGAUAUUUGUUGCACUUCCGUGUUUCUGUUGUUUUCCCGGAUUUGUUUUCUCUCAAUCGAUUUAUGAUUUUCGAACAGCGACAUACUUCUGUUGCUUUUAUUUACUAUAUGUGAGAGAGCGGUUAUAAAUAAAAGACAAGUAACACUUUGCAGUAAAAUGUGAAACACUAUGUAACAAGUAAAAUCACGAUAAUACUGAAUUACGAUGGAAAAAAAGGAAAGUAGUCAUUAUUAAUUUUCAUUGUACAAAAUUUUCAAAAUUUUUUAUAGAUUUAAUGCGAUCACCAUUUUAAGCAUUUUUUUGUCGAAAACAGAGAAAUAGAGAAAAGAUACAUAGAGUUAAAAAAUAAAUACGAACGAAAUAUAAAAUAAAAUUAAGUAAAGAUCUACAUCCGAAGUCUGCAUCAUUGGCAAUGAACAUGUUGCAAUGUAGAAAAAUAUGAUAUAAUGUAAUGUUGAUUCAUUAAUAUCAGUUUGAUACCAAUUUUCUUGGAUUUUGAUGGAACAAGGGAACCACGAAUUUAAACCUUAAGGGAAUUUCAAGUUUUCUAAAGGUGUGAAUGCAGAAUUUACCAAAACCGCAUAAUUAAAUAUCUCCGAAAUUGCAAGUGUUUCUGCAAUCCACGAAAAUUGAUUCACACGAAAAGAGGUAAACGAUACCAAAUGAACAUUUAAUUGAUUUAUAUAUUCUGAAUGAAUUUACGGGAUUUACUUCCUAACCGGUAUAGAUCAAAAUCUUUUGUAAUAUUGUAUUGUCAAUAUUCUUCGGAUUCUUACUUUAUUUGGCCUAUUUAAUUUUUUUUCGGGGUUAGUUGUUUGUAGACGACGCACAUUUUUUUAAAGCAUUGUAUCUAUGAUGAGUUUAUUUUGAACAGGGUAAAAUUCUGUUAGCUCGAAGCGUUAAACUGAGAGGAGAUGUAGGUUUACGUCAAUGUUUUGUGUUUUAGUCGCCUUAUCGUUUUCUCAUUUAAUUGUAGUGUGUGCUCUAUUAGCCAGUGCUGGUUUGCAAGAAAAUGGCAAUAUCAAAGUGAAAAGUGCAAGGGAUCAAUCAUUUUUAUGAAGAAAUGAUGCAA
This 1233-nucleotide long non-coding RNA is filed under the name Mytilus galloprovincialis (Mediterranean mussel). The record is from RNAcentral. Lineage: Eukaryota; Metazoa; Mollusca; Bivalvia; Mytilida; Mytilidae.